RNAcentral lists this ribosomal RNA (465 nucleotides) under uncultured bacterium. RNAcentral's name for it is "bacterial SSU rRNA". It matches the Rfam family "Bacterial small subunit ribosomal RNA", at positions 338 to 795 of the family's 1533-position model. The record is from RNAcentral.
CCUACGGGAGGCUGCAGUAGGGAAUCUUCCGCAAUGGACGAAAGUCUGACGGAGCAACGCAGCGUGAGCGAAGAAGGCCUUCGGGCCGUAAAGCUCUGUUGUCAGGGAAGAACAAGUACCGGAGUAACUGCCGGUACCUUGACGGUACCUGACGAGAAAGCCACGGCUAACUACGUGCCAGCAGCCGCGGUAAUACGUAGGUGGCAAGCGUUGUCCGGAAUUAUUGGGCGUAAAGCGCGCGCAGGCGGUCCUUUAAGUCUGAUGUGAAAUUUUGCGGCUCAACCGCAAGCGGCCAUUGGAAACUGCGGGACUUGAGGGCAGGCGAGGGCAGUGGAAUUCCACGUGUAGCGGUGAAAUGCGUAGAGAUGGGGAGGGACACCAGUGGCGUAGGCGGCUUCGUGGCCUGUAACUGACGCUGAGGCGCGAAAGCGUGGGGAGCAAACAUGAUUAGAUACCCGGGUAGUC